UUGUAAUCUAUUAUUGUAUGGAAGUAUAUACAAGUAGCAAGAAAAGGGAAAUUCAUUUCACCAUUACAUAUUCUCACCUUGGUCACAAUAAGGACCUUUCCAUCCGUCUAGACAUAUCUUAGUUCCAUUACCGUCACAAUUAUAGUGACCAAACUGGUCAUCUCUUGGACGACAAAAGUUUGAGCAACCAGUUCCGUAGUAAUGUUCGUCGCAUACUACUCGGUAUGAGGACUCCAGAGAUGUAUACUGCGUAUCAUACAUUAGUUGUUGCCACGAUGAGCCUGCUAAUAUGGACUUCUGAACUGCUAACCUCAUGAUCUGUUCCCGAGGACUGCCUGCAAGACAAAACAUUGGACCGUGAGAAAGCUAUUUCACUCACACGCCCGUCAAAGCGAUACCAAGUUUAAUAAUACAGGAAUGUUAAUCUGUAUUACAAUCGAAUGGUGAAUAUAUGUUGUAAAAUUCGAAUCGUUAAUUGUUUACUUACUGGCCAUGAAAACUGGAAUGGAAAUAA
This is a long non-coding RNA of Mytilus trossulus (common blue mussel), 514 nucleotides long. RefSeq lists it as uncharacterized. The record is from RefSeq and is a predicted model, not a curated record. The transcript has 3 exons. NCBI's taxonomy places the organism in Eukaryota, Metazoa, Mollusca, Bivalvia, Mytilida, Mytilidae.